This 1485-nucleotide ribosomal RNA is filed under the name metagenome. Its description in RNAcentral is "bacterial SSU rRNA". It matches the Rfam family "Bacterial small subunit ribosomal RNA". The record is from RNAcentral.
AGAGUUUGAUUCUGGCUCAGAACGAACGCUGGCGGCAUGCCUAACACAUGCAAGUCGAACGAGAAAGUCCGCAAGGAUGAGUAGAGUGGCGCACGGGUGAGUAACACGUGGGUAAUCUGCCCUUUAGCCUGGGAUAACCCUUCGAAAGAAGAGCUAAUACCGGAGAGACCACAACGACAUAAGUCGAAGGGGUUAAAGAUGGGGACCGCAAGGCCUAUCACUAGAGGAUGAGCUCGCGCACUAUCAGGUAGUUGGUGAGGUAAUGGCUCACCAAGCCUAUGACGGUUAGCUGGUCUGAGAGGAUGAUCAGCCACACUGGAACUGAGACACGGUCCAGACUCCUACGGGAGGCAGCAGUGGGGAAUUUUGCACAAUGGGCGCAAGCCUGAUGCAGCAAUGCCGCGUGAGUGAUGAAGGCCUUCGGGUUGAAAAUCUCUGUCGGUUGGGAAAAACGCCUUUUCAUUUAAUAAAUGAAAAGGGUGAUGGUACCAGCAAAGGAAGAGGCGGCUAACUCUGUGCCAGCAGCCGCGGUAAUACAGAGGCCUCAAGCGUUGUUCGGAAUUACUGGGCGUAAAGGGAAUGUAGGUGGUUACGUAAGUAAGAUGUGAAAGCCCUGGGCUUAACCCGGGAACUGCAUUUGAUACUGCGUGACUUGAGUGCGAUAGAGGAGAGCGGAAUUCCUAGUGUAGGAGUGAAAUCUGUAGAUAUUAGGAGGAAUACCGAUGGCGAAGGCAGCUCUCUGGCUCGUAACUGACACUGAGAUUCGAAAGCGUGGGUAGCAAACAGGAUUAGAUACCCUGGUAGUCCACGCCGUAAACGAUGGAUGCUUGUUGUUGGAGGAGUAAAUCCUUUCAGUAACGAAGCUAACGCGUUAAGCAUCCCGCCUGGGGAGUACGGUCGCAAGAUUAAAACUCAAAGAAAUUGACGGGGACCCGCACAAGCAGUGGAGCAUGUGGUUCAAUUCGACCACGCGAAGAACCUUAUCCUGGUCUUGACAUCCUCGGACCGCCAGCGAAAGUUGGCUUUCCCGCAAGGGACUGAGAGACAGGUGCUGCAUGGCUGUCGUCAGCUCGUGUCGUGAGAUGUUGGGUUAUUCCCGUAACGAGCGCAACCCACGCCUCUUGUUGCCAUCAUUAAGUUGGGCACUCUAGAGGGACCGCCGGUGUUAAACCGGAGGAAGGUGUGGAUGACGUCAAGUCCUCAUGGCCCUUAUGAUCAGGGCUACACACGUGCUACAAUGCAAGGUACAAAGGGUCGCGAAAUGGUGACAUGGAGCCAAUCCCAAAAAACCUUGCUCAGUUCGGAUCGAAGUCUGCAACUCGACUUCGUGAAGCUGGAAUUGCUAGUAAUCACAGAUCAGCAUGCUGUGGUGAAUACGUUCCCGGGUCUUGUACACACCGCCCGUCACACCACGAAAGUUGUUUGCACCAGAAGUCACUGAGCUAACCGCAAGGAAGCAAGUGCCCAAGGUGUGUACAAUGAUCC